UGGCGGGUCUAGGCGGGGGGCUAGGGGUCCCCUGAACCGUAAACCCUCUACACGACGGGCUGAAUGCUUUGGCGAGGCGUCAAAGACCGUCAGGCACCUCAGUCCUCUAACCGUGACUAUCCGUCCUCUUAGGCUGGCGGUCAUGGAGCUGCCUUCGUAGGGAUGCAGUUCACCGUGUCUACCAGGCGAACCUGGCCAGGCCCGGGAGGGAGCAACCUAAGCUUGGACGUUCAGCGCUUAGGGGACCGCGGAUACGAGUUCAGAGGUUGAGGAAACUGGCGAAAACUGGGCGUCGAACCAAGGUGACCCGCCA
RNAcentral lists this signal recognition particle RNA (313 nucleotides) under Bathyarchaeum sp. (SeqCode). Its description in RNAcentral is "Candidatus Bathyarchaeum sp. signal recognition particle sRNA". It matches the Rfam family "Archaeal signal recognition particle RNA". Lineage: Archaea; Thermoproteati; Candidatus Bathyarchaeota; Bathyarchaeia (SeqCode); Bathyarchaeales (SeqCode); Bathyarchaeaceae (SeqCode). The record is from RNAcentral.